AGAAACUUAGGAUAAUUAAAACCGAAGGCCUUCAAAGCCUUAAACAAGAGUUAGACCCUCUUAGUUUCUG
Molecule: transfer RNA, 70 nt
Filed under: Numenius minutus
Lineage: Eukaryota; Metazoa; Chordata; Aves; Charadriiformes; Scolopacidae
Description: tRNA-Trp
Rfam family: tRNA
About the family: Transfer RNA (tRNA) molecules are approximately 80 nucleotides in length. Their secondary structure includes four short double-helical elements and three loops (D, anti-codon, and T loops). Further hydrogen bonds mediate the characteristic L-shaped molecular structure. tRNAs have two regions of fundamental functional importance: the anti-codon, which is responsible for specific mRNA codon recognition, and the 3' end, to which the tRNAs corresponding amino acid is attached (by aminoacyl-tRNA synthetases). tRNAs cope with the degeneracy of the genetic code in two manners: having more than one tRNA (with a specific anti-codon) for a particular amino acid; and 'wobble' base-pairing, i.e. permitting non-standard base-pairing at the 3rd anti-codon position.
Source: RNAcentral